This 406-nucleotide ribosomal RNA is filed under the name uncultured bacterium. RNAcentral's name for it is "partial 16S ribosomal RNA". It matches the Rfam family "Bacterial small subunit ribosomal RNA", at positions 30 to 526 of the family's 1533-position model. The record is from RNAcentral.
AUUGAACGCUGGCGGCAGGCCUAACCCAUGCAAGUCGAGCGAGCGACGGACGGGUGAGUAAUGUCUGGGAAACUGCCUGAUGGAGGGGGAUAACUCCUGGAAACGGUAGAUAAUACCGCAUACCAUCAGAUGUGCCCCGAUGUGAUUAGCUAGUAGGUGGGGUAACGGCUCACCUAGGCGACGAUCCCUAGCUGGUCUGAGAGGAUGACCAGCCAAACUGGAACUGGGACAAGGUCCAGACUCCUACGGGGGGCAGCAGUGGGGAAUAUUGCACAAUGGGCGCAAGCCUGAUGCAGCCAUGCCGCGGGUGUGAAGAAGGCCUUCGGGUUGUAAAGCACUUUCAGCCGGGAGGCGUUACCCGCAGAAGAAGCACCGGCUAACUCCGUGCCAGCAGCCGCGGUAAUAC